RNAcentral lists this ribosomal RNA (634 nucleotides) under uncultured bacterium. RNAcentral's name for it is "bacterial SSU rRNA". It matches the Rfam family "Bacterial small subunit ribosomal RNA", at positions 8 to 650 of the family's 1533-position model. The record is from RNAcentral.
AGAGUUUGAUCCUGGCUCAGGAUGAACGCUAGCGGCAGGCCUAAUACAUGCAAGUCGAACGGUGAUAUUUAUAUCAUAGUGGCGCACGGGUGCGUAACACGUAUGCAACCUACCUAUUAUUGGGGGAUAGCCUUUGGAAACGGAGAUUAAUACCGCAUAAUACGAUUAACUGGCAUCGGUUGAUUGUUAAAGCAUUUGCGAUAAUAGAUGGGCAUGCGUCCAAUUAGUUAGUUGGUGUGGUAAUGGCUCACCAAGACGAUGAUUGGUAGGGGAUCUGAGAGGAUAAUCCCCCACACUGGCACUGAGAUACGGGCCAGACUCCUACGGGAGGCAGCAGUAGGGAAUAUUGGGCAAUGGGCGGAAGCCUGACCCAGCCAUGCCGCGUGCAGGAAGACGGCGUUAUGCGUUGUAAACUGCUUUUUUAUAGGAAGAAGGAUCCCUUGCGAGGGAAGGUGACGGUACUAUAAGAAUAAGCACCGGCUAACUCCGUGCCAGCAGCCGCGGUAAUACGGAGGGUGCAAGCGUUGUCCGGAUUUAUUGGGUUUAAAGGGUGCGUAGGCGGUUUAUUAAGUCAGUGGUGAAAGACGGUCGCUNCACGAUUGCAGUGCCAUUGAUACUGGUAGACUUGAGUGAG